UUAUUAUUAUUAUUAUUAUUAUUAUUAUUAUUAUUAUAUUAGUAUAGCAUUCAUUAUCAAUAACUGAAUAAUUUAUUGUAAAUAUGUAAUUUAUUCAGCAGAUUUUUAAAGUCAUGUGUUUUAUUGGUUAUUUUUGAUAACACCAAAUUUGUCUUGUCUUUUUCUAAUCUGAAAAAUUAUUUUGCAAUACAAUGACAUAAUUUUUCUCAUUACACUUAUUGCUGUGACCUAUUGUAUAGAUCACCACUCUUCUCAUUUCCUCUUCUUACUUCCUCAGAUAAGUAAGGGCUGAAUGCGACUAUGCUGCUUUAUGGUGUCAUUCAUUUCCACUUGAAAUGUGGAGCAGUGCAGGUGCCUCCUAUGAACUACAGCUUGUCUGCAGUGGGUUAGUGAUGAGGGGCUUUGCAAUAACUAUAAUAAAGGAUCACCUUCACUUUUGCCCGCUUCUGUUGCCAAAUGUUGGACAUUUCAAAAGUGUCGAUGGCUGCAGCCUUGUUGCAGGACCUCGUGUUAUAUUUUUGCACCAGGAGGAGCAUAUACGCAUUCAUGACCUGACAGAAAGAAAAGAAGCAAAAUAACUUUUGCAAUUAUAUGGAGGCCUGUCUUACACCUGUCAAUUAAAAACAGCAAUAAAAGGAUCACAAAGGUUUAAAAGGUCUUUUCUCCUUAAGGCUGUAUCGUGCAGUGCAAGGGCAGCCAAAUUUAUCUGCAGAGCUGACUGGAGAGGGAGGAUGGACAGGUGGAGAAGGUGCUGUGGGGCUGACUGGAGAGGGAGGAUGGACAGGUGGAGAAGGUGCUGUGGAGCUGCCUGGAGAGGGAGGAUGGACAGGUGGAGAAGGUGCUGUGGAGCUGCCUGGAGAGGGAGGAUGGACAGGUGGAGAAGGUGCUGUGGAGCUGACUGGAGAGGGAGGAUGGACAGGUGGAGAAGGUGCUGUGGGGCUGACUGGAGAGGGAGGAUGGACAUGAGAGGGAGAUUUGCAGCUGAUCAGAGUUGAGGGAUUCAGUGUAUAGGUUUUAUUUUCCAUUAAGAUUUUCCGGAGCUUGUGAGGGACUUUGGGGACAUCUUCACAGUGGGGUCUCAAAUGAUCUGUAUUAAUUUUGGGCAUUUUGACACCCCUCUCAUCUUGAAGAUCUGCACUUUUUCCCUCCAGUGCCACAAUAGUGUAAGGACCCAGGUAGUUAGCCUCCAGUUUUCCCCCUUUCCGCUGUUGGCUUCUCACGUUUUGCCUCCAUACUUUGUCCCCCACUACAAAGGGUUUGCUGGAUGGACACAACCUUUUUCUCAUUUUCUUUUGAGAGGCUUUAAUGUUUGCCUCAGCCUCACGCAAACCUUCACUAAUCCUCAACGCACACUCUGUGACUUGCUCCACAGUUACUGUGUCUUCCAUGCUUUCGUGAAUCUAAAAAAAAUUAUAUUUUUUUUAGUUUUUAUAAUAAUAUAUAUUUAUUUAAAGGGUUAGUUCGCCCUGAAUAGAAAAUUUGAUCAGAUAUUAAUAGCAUAAUUUACUUAAAUUGGGAUUAAACCACUGGAGUAACAUGGGUUGUUUUUUAUUGUGUUUAUGGACAAUUUAAAGAAUGUUUCAUGUAAACAGACUUUCAAUUUCAAAUUCUCUCAGCUUUAGUAAAAAUAUAUUUAUUCUGUUUAAACUUAAAUGAGAAUGAGUAAAUAAUGACAGAAUUUCAUUGUGAGUGGAGGUAAACUAACCCUUUAAGUAGUUAACAUUGAAUUUGUUUUGAAUUUUCAGUUACCCUGUAUUGCUCCGGAACCUCACAAGCAUAACGGGCCUCUCUCCCAAACAUUAAAAAAAAAGCUUGCAAAGGGCUCUGUUGACAUAACAGCAUUGAUUGUGAUGUAUUAUUAACAUAUAGAGCAUAUACAUUACAACAUAUUGUGUGUACAGGUGUUCU
Cyprinus carpio carpio is the source of this 1908-nucleotide long non-coding RNA. Lineage: Eukaryota; Metazoa; Chordata; Actinopteri; Cypriniformes; Cyprinidae. The record is from Ensembl.